GACGAACGCUGGCGGCGUGCUUAACACAUGCAAGUCGAACGGAGAGGCCCUGCUUUUGUGGGGUGCUCGAGUGGCGAACGGGUGAUUAACACGUGAGUAACCUGCCCUUGACUUUGGGAUAACUUCAGGAAACUGGGGCUAAUACCGGAUAGGAGCUCCUGCUGCAUGGUGGGGGUUGGAAAGUUUCGGCGGUUGGGGAUGGACUCGCGGCUUAUCAGCUUGUUGGUGGGGUAGUGGCUUACCAAGGCUUUGACGGGUAGCCGGCCUGAGAGGGUGACCGGCCACAGUGGGACUGAGAUACGGCCCAGACUCCUAAGGGAGGCAGCAGUGGGGAAUAUUGCACAAUGGGCGGAAGCCUGAUGCAGCAACGCCGCGUGAGGGAUGACGGCCUUCGGGUUGUAAACCGCUUUCGCCUGUGACGAAGCGUGAGUGACGGUAAUGGGUAAAGAAGCACCGGCUAACUACGUG
RNAcentral lists this ribosomal RNA (468 nucleotides) under uncultured bacterium. RNAcentral describes it as "partial 16S ribosomal RNA". It matches the Rfam family "Bacterial small subunit ribosomal RNA", at positions 28 to 507 of the family's 1533-position model. The record is from RNAcentral.